This 182-nucleotide non-coding RNA is filed under the name Myxococcales bacterium. Its description in RNAcentral is "6S RNA". It matches the Rfam family "6S / SsrS RNA". Rfam says of the family: E. coli 6S RNA was the first non coding RNA to be sequenced, but its function was unknown until recently. It consists of 184 nucleotides that fold into an extended hairpin structure with a large single-stranded internal bulge. The record is from RNAcentral. Lineage: Bacteria; Pseudomonadati; Myxococcota; Myxococcia; Myxococcales.
AUCGUCCUGCCUGGCGCGUGAUGGGCGGAACGCUUCAAGCUCUAUAUCAUUUAGCCCGGGACCAGCUUCCAUGCGCGGUGAGCAAGCCCUUCGAUGGGAAGCCUGAAGCGCAACAGUUGGACCCAGUAUCUAGAUAUACAUGGGCUAAAGCCAACCGUUCACACGACCAAGGCGGGUCUUUU